CCUACGGUGUGCAGCAGUGGGGAAUAUUGCACAAUGGGGGGAACCCUGAUGCAGCAAUGCCGCGUGGGUGAAGAAGCACUCCGGUGCGUAAAGCCCUGUCAGCAGGGAAGAAAAUGACAGUACCUGGACAAGAAGCCCCGGCUAACUACGUGCCAGCAGCCGCGGUAAUACGUAGGGGGCAAGCGUUAGCCGGAUUUACUGGGUGUAAAGGGAGCGUAGACGGUUAUGUAAGUCUGGAGUGAAAGCCCGGGGCCCAACCCCGGGACUGCUUUGGAAACUGUGUAACUGGAGUACAGGAGGGGCAGGCGGAAUUCCUGGUGUAGCGGUGAAAUGCGUAGAUAUCAGGAGGAACACCGGAGGCGAAGGCGGCCUGCUGGACUGAAACUGACGUUGAGGCUCGAAAGCGUGGGGAGCAAACAGGAUUAGAUACCCUUGUAGUC
This 440-nucleotide ribosomal RNA is filed under the name uncultured bacterium. Its description in RNAcentral is "partial 16S ribosomal RNA". It matches the Rfam family "Bacterial small subunit ribosomal RNA", at positions 338 to 795 of the family's 1533-position model. The record is from RNAcentral.